CCUACGGGUGGCUGCAGUGAGGAAUAUUGGUCAAUGGACGAGAGUCUGAACCAGCCAAGUAGCGUGAAGGAUGACUGCCCUAUGGGUUGUAAACUUCAUUUAUAUGGUAAUAAAAUGUUCCACGUUUGGGAUUUUGUAUGUACCAUAUGAAUAAGUAUCGGCUAACUCCGUGCCAGCAGCCGCGGUAAUACGGAGGAUCCGAGCGUUAUCCGGCUUUAUUGGGUUUAAAGGGAGCGUAGGUGGAUUGUUAAGUCAGUUGUGAAAGUUUGCGGCUCAACCGUAAAAUUGCAGUUGAAACUGGCAGUCUUGAGUACAGUAGAGGUGGGCGGAAUGCGUGGUGUAGCGGUGAAAUGCUUAGAUAUCACGAAGAACUCCGAUUGCGAAGGCAGUUCACUGGACUGCAACUGACACUGAGGCUCGAAAGUGUGGGUAUCAAACAGGAUUAGAUACCCCUGUAGUC
RNAcentral lists this ribosomal RNA (460 nucleotides) under uncultured bacterium. RNAcentral's name for it is "partial 16S ribosomal RNA". It matches the Rfam family "Bacterial small subunit ribosomal RNA", at positions 338 to 795 of the family's 1533-position model. The record is from RNAcentral.